This 1405-nucleotide ribosomal RNA is filed under the name uncultured bacterium. RNAcentral's name for it is "partial 16S ribosomal RNA". It matches the Rfam family "Bacterial small subunit ribosomal RNA". The record is from RNAcentral.
AGAGUUUGAUCCUGGCUCAGGAUGAAUGCUAGCGGCAGGCUUAACACAUGCAAGUCGAGGGGCAGCGGGGAGGAAGCUUGCUUUCUCCGCCGGCGACCGGCGCACGGGGUGAGUAACACGUAUGCAACCUGCCCCUGUCAGGGGGACAACCCGCCGAAAGGCGGGCUAAACCCGCGUACAUGCCACCGGGGCAUCCCGGAGGCAGGAAAGGCUUCGGCCGGACAGGGAUGGGCAUGCGGCGCAUUAGGCAGUAGGCGGGGUAACGGCCCACCUAACCGACGAUGCGUAGGGGUUCUGAGAGGAAGGUCCCCCACACUGGUACUGAGACACGGACCAGACUCCUACGGGAGGCAGCAGUGAGGAAUAUUGGUCAAUGGUCGGGAGACUGAACCAGCCAAGCCGCGUGAGGGAGGAAGGUACAGAGUAUCGUAAACCUCUUUUGUCAGGGAACAAAGGCGGGGACGUGUCCCCGGAUGAGUGUACCUGAAGAAAAAGCAUCGGCUAACUCCGUGCCAGCAGCCGCGGUAAUACGGAGGAUGCGAGCGUUAUCCGGAUUUAUUGGGUUUAAAGGGUGCGCAGGCGGUCUGUUAAGUCAGCGGUCAAAGCCCGGGGCUCAACCCCGGCCCGCCGUUGAAACUGGCAGUCUCGAGUUGGAGAGAAGUAUGCGGAAUGCGCGGUGUAGCGGUGAAAUGCAUAGAUAUCGCGCAGAACUCCGAUUGCGAAGGCAGCAUGCCGGCUCCACACUGACGCUGAGGCACGAAAGCGUGGGUAUCGAACAGGAUUAGAUACCCUGGUAGUCCACGCAGUAAACGAUGAAUGCUGGCUGUCCGGGGGGAUUGACCCCUGGGUGGCGAAGCGAAAGCGAUAAGCAUUCCACCUGGGGAGUAUGCCGGCAACGGUGAAACUCAAAGGAAUUGACGGGGGCCCGCACAAGCGGAGGAACAUGUGGUUUAAUUCGAUGAUACGCGAGGAACCUUACCCGGGCUCAAACGGGGAGUGACUCAGGCAGAGACGCCUGUUUCCCACGGGACACUCCCCGAGGUGCUGCAUGGUUGUCGUCAGCUCGUGCCGUGAGGUGUCGGCUUAAGUGCCAUAACGAGCGCAACCCCCGCGUGCAGUUGCUAACAGAUAACGCUGAGGACUCUGCACGGACUGCCGGCGCAAGCCGCGAGGAAGGCGGGGAUGACGUCAAAUCAGCACGGCCCUUACGUCCGGGGCGACACACGUGUUACAAUGGGUGGUACAGCGGGAAGCCGGGCGGCGACGCCGAGCGGAACCCGAAAUCCACUCUCAGUUCGGAUCGGAGUCUGCAACCCGACUCCGUGAAGCUGGAUUCGCUAGUAAUCGCGCAUCAGCCAUGGCGCGGUGAAUACGUUCCCGGGCCUUGUACACACCGCCCGUCAAG